Molecule: long non-coding RNA, 1122 nt
Filed under: Gallus gallus (chicken)
Lineage: Eukaryota; Metazoa; Chordata; Aves; Galliformes; Phasianidae
Description: long non-coding RNA NONGGAT002752
Source: RNAcentral
UCUUUCUCCUGCAUUUGUAAAACGCUACUGAGGAACUUGAAGGGCCAAAGAGCCUCUGAAAUUAACUACAUUAGUUCAUGGGAGAAGAAUUUCUCAGUAAGACUAAACACAAUGGUGUAUGUAUAGAGUGCUAAUAUCCAGGGUUCUUUUUGGAAGAAGAAGGGAGGAAAGGGUGACUGCACUGUGUCUUUACAGGCUCAGAUGUAAGGAUUAUGUACUUUGUGAGUAGUUUUGGCACAGUUAAGACACAUUGGACAUGGUAACUGGUUUACAAUGGUACCAAAGUUGUCUUCUUUCUUUUCUUUUGAGGUUUGCAUAUAAUUCAGUGCUCAUAGCCUGGAGUAAAUCAUUCAAAUCUUCUGGCAGAAUAAGCUGAGCAGAACUGUUAACAGGAGAUUGCAUGCAGCAAAUCCAGCCUCCUUCCCAGCCAAGGCACUGAACCUACAGCCGUUCUCUUAAAUGUAAGCACCUGUGUCAGUAGCUCCUAUUGCAGGACUGGGGACCUACUUACUGCAUCUGAUUUAGGAGCAGAAUCCCCCCCCCUUGCUAAAAUAUUAUUCUUCAAACAGUUCACAGAUUAACAGCCAAGUUCUUCUUCUGCCCAAAUCCUCAGUUUUUACAGACACUACAGCCAAAUCUUCAGGUGGUGUAAACUGGUGUGGCUCCACUGAAGCUAAGAAAGUGUGAAUAGCAAAGACUUUGGAACUUUGGGCCAAAUACUGCACUGACAUGUAACCAGCAUUUGGCCCCCAUGUCAAAACUGGACGCAGACGUAACCUGAAGGAUGAGUUUCAGUUCACAUUUUGGAACAUAAUGAGGAGAGACAAAGGAAACUAUUUAUACAGGCAUGCGGUAUUCCUGAUACAGGCUAGAUACAGAAUGGGAACUUUUGCAAAGCUUCAGACAGUGGAUCUUACGUAGGGAGAGGAGGAGUGUCUUCUGAGGCAGAGAUGCAUCUCAUGAUAAACCUUGAUGUCUUCAUGUAUGUGCUUUUGAGUGGCAGCCAGCAAGGAGGGAUGUGGGUGUACUAGUGGAGCACCAAAGUGGUGCUCUCCUGCUUUCUGGCUUGUCCUUUCCCACCACGUGCAGGUAAGUGUCUCCUGGGCAGUGGCUUCUUCCUGC